Molecule: ribosomal RNA, 498 nt
Filed under: uncultured bacterium
Lineage: Bacteria
Description: bacterial SSU rRNA
Rfam family: Bacterial small subunit ribosomal RNA
Source: RNAcentral
ACUCAAAGGAAUUGACGGGGACCCGCACAAGCAGCGGAGCAUGUGGUUUAAUUCGAAGCAACGCGAAGAACCUUACCAGGGCUUGACAUCCCACUGAUUGGUGUAGAGAUACAUCUUUCCUUCGGGACAGUGGAGACAGGUGGUGCAUGGUUGUCGUCAGCUCGUGUCGUGAGAUGUUGGGUUAAGUCCCGCAACGAGCGCAACCCCUAUUUUUAGUUGCCAUUAUUAAGUUGGGCACUCUAGAGAGACUGCCGGGGAUAACUCGGAGGAAGGUGGGGACGACGUCAAAUCAUCAUGCCCCUUAUGUCCUGGGCGACACACGUGCUACAAUGGCCGGAAACAGAGGGCAGCCAAGCCGCGAGGUGGAGCGAAUCCCUUAAACCCGGUCUCAGUUCGGAUUGUGGGCUGCAACUCGCCCACAUGAAGUCGGAGUUGCUAGUAAUCGCGGAUCAGCACGCCGCGGUGAAUGCGUUCCCGGGUCUUGUACACACCGCCCGU